ACGUAGGGGGCCAGCGUUGUUCGGAAUUACUGGGUGUAAAGGGUUCGUAGGCGGUGCGGCAAGUUGGGAGUGAAAUCUCUGGGCUUAACCCAGAGGCUGCUUCCAAAACUGCUGUGCUUGAGUGUGAGAGAGGCUCGUGGAAUUGCAGGUGUAGCGGUGAAAUGCGUAGAUAUCUGCAGGAACACCCGUGGCGAAAGCGGCGAGCUGGAUCACUACUGACGCUGAGGAACGAAAGCUAGGGGAGCAAACAGG
RNAcentral lists this ribosomal RNA (252 nucleotides) under uncultured bacterium. Its description in RNAcentral is "partial 16S ribosomal RNA". It matches the Rfam family "Bacterial small subunit ribosomal RNA", at positions 525 to 776 of the family's 1533-position model. The record is from RNAcentral.